CGCUAUUAAAUUCACUCUGUUUCUCUCCAGCUAGAAAUCUUUUUAACGGAAUCAAUCAACCGUUCCUUCUAUUUCACGCCAUUUCUCUGUAACCGUUUUCUCUCUCUAAAAAUGAAAGUUCUCACUAUGCUCCGUUCCGAUACGUUUCCCUGUUCAUUCUGAAUCUCUCUGUCCUAUGUAUGACCUUUGUUGUGUUUCCACCGUCUCCGACCAUUCAUCGACCUAGUCCUUAACCA
This 236-nucleotide unclassified non-coding RNA is filed under the name Hevea brasiliensis (rubber tree). The record is from RNAcentral. Lineage: Eukaryota; Viridiplantae; Streptophyta; Magnoliopsida; Malpighiales; Euphorbiaceae.